UUGAUAGAAACCAAAAUAGAGGUGUAUCAUUGUUAAUGAUAAAAUUAAGUAAUAACUUCUAUCAAG
Molecule: transfer RNA, 66 nt
Filed under: Nanosesarma minutum
Lineage: Eukaryota; Metazoa; Arthropoda; Malacostraca; Decapoda; Sesarmidae
Description: tRNA-Asn
Source: RNAcentral